Molecule: ribosomal RNA, 460 nt
Filed under: uncultured bacterium
Lineage: Bacteria
Description: partial 16S ribosomal RNA
Rfam family: Bacterial small subunit ribosomal RNA
Source: RNAcentral
CCUACGGGAGGCCGCAGUGAGGAAUAUUGGUCAAUGGACGAGAGUCUGAACCAGCCAAGUAGCGUGAAGGAUGACUGCCCUAUGGGUUGUAAACUUCUUUUAUAUGGGAAUAAAACGUUCCACGUGUGGGAUUUUGUAUGUACCAUAUGAAUAAGGAUCGGCUAACUCCGUGCCAGCAGCCGCGGUAAUACGGAGGAUCCGAGCGUUAUCCGGAUUUAUUGGGUUUAAAGGGAGCGUAGGUGGAUUGUUAAGUCAGUUGUGAAAGUUUGCGGCUCAACCGUAAAAUUGCAGUUGAAACUGGCAGUCUUGAGUACAGGAGAGGUGUGCGGAAUUCGUGGUGUAGCGGUGAAAUGCUUAGAUAUCACGAAGAACUCCGAUUGCGAAGGCAGUUCACUGGACUGCAACUGACACUGAGGCUCGAAAGUGUGGGUAUCAAACAGGAUUAGAUACCCUUGUAGUC